Long non-coding RNA from Populus nigra (black poplar), 1469 nucleotides. RefSeq lists it as uncharacterized. NCBI's taxonomy places the organism in Eukaryota, Viridiplantae, Streptophyta, Magnoliopsida, Malpighiales, Salicaceae. The transcript has 5 exons. The record is from RefSeq and is a predicted model, not a curated record.
ACCAAGUGGGUCUAACUUAUUUCCCACUCCUGGACAUGGGCUUAAACUUUUAAAGCUUUUUUUAUUUAUCGUUCGUUAUACUUUUUUUCCCUUCACUUUCCCCUCAUUGGAUAGAUUUAGGGUUUGGAUUAGGGUUACCUUUGUUAAAGAAAAAUAAAGGUAGGAGAGAAAAAGUCCUAAUUAGCCAAAUAGCUCUCUACUCUGGUCUUUCCCAUUUGUUUUGUCUUCUCUUUUGCAUGGGGAUAGUGAGAUGAUGAUGGUUGCGAAGAUCUAAAAGAAAUUAACGAAACCAGUCACUGUUUGCCUAUGGAGCAUCAUCAAGAUUCACAAGCAUUAUUAGGGCUAGUGUGUGGUGAUGAUGGUGGCUUUUGGUGGUCCCUUUUUUUCAAUCCAAUAGCCCUUUGAAUUGGGAAUCUUGAUGAUGCUGCAGCGGCAAUAAAUGGCUUAUUUAUCUCCUUUUCUCCAACUUUACCGGCUCCCAAAGAUGAAGGUGAUUUUUUGGUGCUGUCACCACCACUUGAUCUGAUCUUAUUAAGGAUGUCUGUACUUCGGUAUGAACCUGUACAUCGUUAGACAUCGUGGGCCUCUUUUAUUUCUUGGAUACAUGGAGGUUCUUUUGUUCUCUCUAUAUAUGUUUCUUCUCUUAUCGUCCUUUCUUUAGAUCUUGAUCAUCAUUCCCAGCUGUGUAUAAUAUGUGCAAGUGUUCAGAUUACUGACAAAGCUUUUAAUUAUUCCCGGGAUAUGAUGUGCUUGAAUACACCAAGUCACACAUACAAUCAUUUUGUUGCUCUUUUGUACAUGUAGAUUUUUAGAGUUUUGAUUGUUCCGUUGCCUCUUCAUGGAAAUCUUUAGCUUGGUGACGGGAUUUUCGUAUUUUGCCUUUCAGUUUCUCAUCAGCAAUAUUGUAGGUGUACAUUUGAGCAUUAAAAGAAGGAAUUACCGUGUGUUCUUCUAACCAUAUUCUUGGAAACUAUGUUUUGUUUUUUCAGGUUCAGGGAAGAUCUUCUGAUUUCUCAAAAUUUCGGGAUAAUAGCUUGUGCCUAGCUUGAUAGGCUACUUGGUGUAUAAUAAUACACCCAUACGCGUUUAAUUAACUGAGUUUUUACCAGGUAAAGUGAUUUCCAAGUCAUCGUAAGAAACCUGUGCUAUAUGAUGAUCAAUCUUGAAAGGAACCAUGUUAUUGUGUGCAGUGAAGUGCUUUGGCUGCAGAAUGUUUGAGUGAUGGUCAAUAUCUCAAGAUCACUCUUUUAAACUCAUGAUCAUCUAGUUGAACGCCUAGUGACACUUGAAUUCGCGCGUUGACUUCAUUUAUAACAAGGGUUUGGAUUGAGCCUGCUGUGUUAUCUGAAAGAAUAAACAACAAAAUUAGUAAACCCUAAUAUUUAGCUGAAGUUUUGUAAUUUGCGUGAGAUUCAAGUCAAAUGAUGUUAUUUGCAAUGUUUACCUUCAUAAGAUGAAUUUCUUGUUCU